UGGGGAAUUUUGGACAAUGGGCGAAAGCCUGAUCCAGCAAUGCCGCGUGUGUGAAGAAGGCCUUCGGGUUGUAAAGCACUUUUGUCCGGAAAGAAAUCCUUGGCUCUAAUACAGUCGGGGGAUGACGGUACCGGAAGAAUAAGCACCGGCUAACUACGUGCCAGCAGCCGCGGUAAUACGUAGGGUGCAAGCGUUAAUCGGAAUUACUGGGCGUAAAGCGUGCGCAGGCGGUUUGCUAAGACCGAUGCGAAAUCCCCGGGCUCAACCUGGGAACUGCAUUGGUGACUGGCAGGCUAGAGUAUGGCAGAGGGGGGUAGAAUUCCACGUGUAGCAGUGAAAUGCGUAGAGAUGUGGAGGAAUACCGAUGGCGAAGGCAGCCCCCUGGGCCAAUACUGACGUUCAUGCACGAAAGCGUGGGGAGCAAACAGGAUUAGAUACCCUGGUAGUCCACGCCCUAAACGAUGUCAACUAGUUGUUGGGGAUUCAUUUCCUUAGUAACGUAGCUAACGCGUGAAGUUGACCGCCUGGGGAGUACGGUCGCAAGAUUAAAACUUAAAGGAAUUGACGGGGUCAUAGCUG
Molecule: ribosomal RNA, 579 nt
Filed under: uncultured bacterium
Lineage: Bacteria
Description: partial 16S ribosomal RNA
Rfam family: Bacterial small subunit ribosomal RNA
Source: RNAcentral